AUACGUAGGUGGCGAGCGUUGUCCGGAUUUACUGGGCGUAAAGGGAGCGUAGGCGGAUACUUAAGUGGGAUGUGAAAUACCCGGGCUCAACCCGGGUGCUGCAUUCCAAGCUGGGUAUCUAGAGUGUGGGAGAGGAAAGUGGAAUUCCUAGUGUAGCGGUGAAAUGCGUAGAUAUUAGGAGGAACACCAGUGGCGAAGGCGGCUUACUGGACGGUAACUGACGUUGAGGCUCGAAAGCGUGGGGAGC
This 247-nucleotide ribosomal RNA is filed under the name uncultured bacterium. Its description in RNAcentral is "partial 16S ribosomal RNA". It matches the Rfam family "Bacterial small subunit ribosomal RNA", at positions 523 to 769 of the family's 1533-position model. The record is from RNAcentral.